Molecule: long non-coding RNA, 1674 nt
Organism: Carlito syrichta (Philippine tarsier)
Lineage: Eukaryota; Metazoa; Chordata; Mammalia; Primates; Tarsiidae
Exons: 4
Source: RefSeq, a predicted model, not a curated record
UGCAGUGCAUCCCAUCUCACUCUGUGUCUUUCAGAGGAGAAUUCUGCUCAGCAUGGUUGUGUUUCAUGCAACGUCAUACAGGAGUGCAUGACUGCAAUUGGUUGUCGUAGCCAAUGAUUUACCAGUCACCGAUGAUCAUCAAUCAAUGAGGAGUUCUUGGUCUUGGAGGCAAGCUGGACCUUCACCAAUGCAUGCAAUUUUUCUCUCAAAGCCUGGGUGGAACCUGGAUGAGAAGGAGCAUUGAGAUGCACUUGGCAUGCUUUUUUCAGAGGCCCAUGUUUCUUUUCCAAAUGGAGGGUAAAUAGACUUUUUUCUUGCCCUAAAGAAAAGAGAGAAUCAGGCUUGUUUAAUAAUAGACAAUGUAUCUGUUGCUCACAAUGUGAAUGGCCAUGUCAUCAGCGGGGCACCUUCAAAGAACUCAGAAAACUUGGAAUGGUGGCACACAGCGAAGGGAAUCCACUGGUCUUCUGGUGAGUGGGGGCACACAAUUCAAAAAUUAUUGUCCGGCUUUUUUGAAACCACCACCAUUAUUCAGAACUCAAGAUGUGAGAACACACACAUGUCAACCACCUGGAAAAAUGUCCCAUAACCAAGAAUUGCCAUGAAAACUCAUCUUUAGGAAGGAGGAACUCUUUCUCACCUGAGAUAUGAAGGCAGGCAUGCCCAAACUAUAUCAAAGGUACCUUAUCUGGACUUGGCCUCAGUCCUGGAGGACCUUCUGUCUCAGCCUACUGGAUGGAUUCCACAGGAGCAGGGAUACCUUCUUCAGAGAAGGCCUUGGGAAUAACUGUUAGUUUCUGGGCUGAAGGACAUCACCCAGAUGCCUGGCCUCAUUUUCUCAGAAAGUGAAAUAGUCUCCAGUAAUCUGAUCGCGUUUGAUUACUUGUGGUGAGCCUCAACUGGGUGCUGAGAAAUUAGAGAACUAGGAAUGGUUGCACAGAGCAAAUAGAAUCCAUUGGUGUCCUGGUGAGAGGGGGCACACAAGAUAAAAUGACUGUCCAACUUUUUGGAAACCACCACCUUUCUUCAGAACUCAAGAUGUGAGAACACACACAUGAUAACCACCUGGCAAUAUGGCCCAUAGAAAGCUUUUCCAUGAAAACACAUUUUUGAGAAUGAGGAACUCUUUCUCACCUGAAAUACAAAGGGAGGCAUGUCCAUGCUGUAUCAAAAGUACCUUGUCUGGAUUUGGCUCCAGUCAUGGAGGAACGUUUCUCUCAGCCUACUGGAUGGAUUCCACAUGAGCAGAAGCUGACCAGGAAAUAAGCUGCUAUCCCAGCAACAAAGGGCUGCAACCAGGUGGCUGGCCACACAUCCUCUGAAAAUGAAAUAUUCUCCAAAACGCUGUUCCUGUUGACUUAUGGGAUACCUUCUUCAGAAAAGGCCUUGGGAAUAAUUGUUAGUCUCUGGGAUGAAGGACGUCAUCCAUGUGCCUGGCCUAUUUUCCUCAGAAAUUCAAAUAGUCUCCAGUAAUCUGGUCACGUUUGGUUACUUGUGGUGAGCCUAUGGGAGUCUUUCCAAAGGAAGCCUCAAAGGAGGAUGCCUAGCUGGGUCAAUGAUAAAACCUUUCCCCUGUCUCUACAGAGGUUUUGUCUUCAAAGUCAUGCAUAAGCUGACACGAACAAGUGGAAAAAUAUCCCAUGCUCAUGGAUCGGAAGAAUCAACAUUGUGAAG